GUCAAAUACGUAAAGAAAAUGAAGCAUGCAUAUCAUAAACCCCAUCCCGUUACGUAUCAGAGCAACCUAAGACUCAGUGAGGCAAGGCCACUCACGACAGCACAACAGCAACCUACGCUCGAUCACCUGCAAGUUACUCAUACGAAGAGCAACAUUUCUAAGCAGAAGGGGUGAGAUUUCACAAAACAAUAAUAUUAAUCAAUAUAAUUCAACAAUCGUAAUUAACAACAUAAACAUCUUAAAUAUCGUAGCAUCAUUGAUAAUAAAAUAUCAAGUAAUCACUUCAUUUAAACAUCACAAAUAACCUAACAUUUUAACAUCUUUCAUCAUUUGACUCGACAAUGCGACAAUGCAACUUAGACCUCUUAUAUGCAUGUGGUACCAAUACAGGGCUUGAGCCCCCAUCGUUAUUUGAGCUAAUGCUCCAUCGUGUUGAGUACUAAGCUCCAGGGCAUAAGCCCCCAACAUAUGUAUGCUAAUGCAUGGACUCGAUCUCUUAAAACAUCUUAAUCAUCAUCUCUUAUGUAUCCAAUAAUUUGGAGUUCAACAUCAUCUUAAUCAUCUUAUAUAGACUCAUGCAUCAUAGUUAAAUAACAAUAGCAGCAUAAGCAGAUCACAACAACAUUAUGACAUCAUAUAAAGAUAUCAAAUUAAAUCAAGCAUCAACUCAAUCAUUCAUUCAUUAACAUUUCAAGUAAUGCAAUUAAUCAUUAAAUCACAUUAUAAUCAACUUAACAUUUCAUAACAGCUUCACAGAUUGCAGUUAACAUCCUAUAUAGGUCACAUUACUACCCAAGGGUCCAUCUCUAAACAAGUUAUGCGACACAGGUCGCAAAGUUCUCACUUGCACUCAGUUCUGGAAGUGCUCGCGAGGCGAGAGCAUCUGCUCGCCAUGGCGAGUACAAGCCAGAUUCCCAACUAAAGUUGUUCUAAGCUAAACCAGGUUCAAUCUCACUCUAAGUCAUCAUCUAAUCUUUAUUUAAUAUCUUUAGGCACUCAAAAACAUCUAAGGUUCAACUCAAAAGUAAAAAAUACAGAAUCCUACAUGCUCUCUGAUCAUGCUCGCUAUGGCGAGUAAGGUUGUUCGCUAUGGCGAGCUGCGACAUACAACUCGCGAGGCGAAGGGAAAUGGCUCGCGUGGCGAGCGAUGAACUUCAUCACUCGCGAGACAAGGAUCAUCAUUCGCGAGGGCGAGCGAUGAAUAUAGGCUCGGGCAGAAUGCAGUUUUUCACGAAAAUUCAACAACUCACAUGAUUUUAAGCCUAAUUUCAAUUCCAGAAUUCAUCAUAUUCAUAAUCUAAGGUCAAAGGACAGUUCCUACAUCAAUCUAACCAAUUUUCACCGUUUAAUCAUCAAUUCUAAGGAUUUGACCUAACUCUCGACUUCUCCAAUUCAAUCCUAUUUCUUGCUAAUUACAACAGGAUGGAUUACAUGAUCAAUAAAAUUGCAGAGUUAGUCUCACCCUUACCUUAAUUUGAAGAAAUCGCAGCCCUAGGUCUCUCUUGCUCUUCUCUUGGCUUUUUCUCCCUUUUUCCAAAGUUUGAUCGUACGUACAAAGUGUUUCUAAAAACCUAGGUCUUUCCUUUUUAUAUCUCCUCCAAAUAACUUAUCUCUCUUUCUCCCCUAAAACUCUCUAAAAUCUCAAAACAGCCCCUAACUAAAUAUUUUAUUUUAUUUUCAAAUCUAAUUUUAUUAAACAACAAAAUAAGUCUCAUCCCCUCAUAGAAAUCGUCACAUCACAUAAAAUCAUCUAAAAUCGUCGUAAAUCAUUUAAAUCAUCAUAAAUCACACAUAUAUUAUAUAAAUAUAAUAUAACUCGUCUAGACUCAAUUAAAUAACUAAUUAAUUAAAAGUGGGCGUUACAGGUGCCCCCGGGGCACUGGUACGGAUUCCAAAAGUAGAAAAAUUGACUUGAAAAUAUAAACUGUUACUUUUGACUAACUAAUUAUUACAUCACUUUUUAAUAAAAUCUUAUCUCUUUUAGCUGCUUAACCAAUGUUCCGGCACUGAUUAACAUUCUCUUUAUAAUUUUAUAAGAAAUUAUUUAAAAAUUUAUAAAUGGGUAACAGUUCAUACUACUGAUUUAAUUAAAGACUGGUGCUAGUCACACAAAAAAAAAACAAGUUACACCCUAGAAUGACUAUUAUACCCUUUAACUAAAAUAAAAAUUUCAAAUUAACUAAAUUUACAUUAACGUAAAUUGAACAUAAGUAAACUUAAUUUACAUUAACCUAAAUUGAACGUAAGUAUACUUAAUUUACAUUAACCUAGAUUGAACGUAAGUAAACUGAAUUUACAUUAACCAAGAUUGAACGUAAGUAAACUGAAUUUACAUUAACCUAGAUUGAACGUAAGUAAACUGAAUUUACACUAACCUAAAUUGAACAGACGUAAACUUGAAUUUACAUUAACCUACAUACGUAAACUACACUAACCCAACCUCUCACUUAAAAUCAAAUUGACAACCAUAUCUCAUACCAAAACAAACAAUAAACAAAUAGAAACUCAUCGAAAAUGAAAUUCAUGAAAUUCACUAACCUUUAUGAAUAUAGUACAGAUCAAUAACAAAGAUGUUGAUUCAGAUAUUGAUUGCACAUCUAUGGUGAUUUGUGGAUGAAAAGGGGUAAGAGUUCAGAAUGAUCAUAAAAAUGGGUUUUUAAAAAUUUACAUGAAGAGGACAAUUUUAGUAUUAUUGUAAAAUUUUAAAUAAAUUUGGAUGUAACUUAUUUUUUUUUUUGGGUGUAACUAGCACCAUUCUUAAUUAAAUUCAAAUCAACAAACUUCGAAAACCUGUUUCCUUGAUUCUCUCUACAUACAUGUAUCGGAUUGAAUGCGCAUUUGAGUUAAGGUAUGUAUCUUAUUGUCGAUUUAUUUACUUAAACCCUUUAUUAUAGCUCAUGUGUAAAUUAAGUUAAAGUUUUGUUUGGAUCCUCCACAUAAUCUGGGUUUUUCUGGGUUAUUAUUCAUAAAAGUACACCUUUUCAAACCUCAAAGUAUAAAAGUACACUUUUCAAAUUUUUUUUUUUUUAAAAUUUCGAGGAAAAUAUGAUUUUGGAUUUAAUCCCAUUUUCCUUUUACAUAUUGUUCAUUGCCCAUUAUCUAAUUUAUGCAUUGAAUUGUUGUUUUCUGCUUUGAUUAUACAGAGAAUAGUGAGAGAUCAGAGGAAGGAGAGUCUGAAAAAGUUAGUAUUUAAGGUUGUUUCUUUCUUUAUUGGGAAAAGAAGGUAAUUAUCACAUUUUUGUUUCUCUUUUUUAUGUUUAAUAAGUAAUACCUUUUGUUUAGUCAGGGUUUAUUGGAAAUUGAAUUUAUGCUGUAAAGGUGAAUGAUAGUUUCUUUUUUUAGGGAAGGUGAAUGAUAGUUUCUAAAUGUGAUUAUAUUCAAUUAUGUCAUUUUCUUAAAUUACUAUAAGUGUCCACGUGGCAUUGUCGUAUUUGGUGUUUGUGUCGGUGUCGGUGCUCGAUAUAUGAUCGUGAAAGAGUAAUGUAGGUUGGCUUCACUCGCUCAAAGACUGAGUCAAGCGAUGGAUACGAAGAAGGAGAAGCAACAAGGGAAUCAAGAAUCGUCUACGAAGAAGGAGCGGCAUAUUGUGACUUGGACUCAAGAGGUACUUUUGUUUCUUUUACGUUUUUUAGGAAUCAAAUGUUAUUAGGGUUUUUGGCACCAAUGUAGACAGAAUCACGAUCCAACUCAUUGGAUGGCAUGAGUUUGCGAUCUUGCAACCCCGCCGUGCCGGAAUUGUAAUCUGGUGGGAGCGGCCAAAAUCGCCGUGAAAACGUGUGGGAGCUGUGUAAUCGAGCGUCUCUGCUGAUUCUGUGCGUCUUCUUCACUGUUCCGGGUUCACGCGACAUAGGUUACCGUUCAAGCUUGAUAUUUGGAAUUGUAAAAUUAAAUUUAGAAAUCUGCAUUUUUUUGGGACUAAUCUCUGUUUGAGAGAUUUGGCUCGUCUACCAUCGAUAAUUUCCCCCAUCCACAGGACAAAGGUGGCCGUUCAAGCUUGAUAUUUGGAAUUGUAAAAUAAAAUUUAGAAAUCUGCAUUUUUUGGGCUGUUUGAUCUUAAUCGAACGGUCACCGUCUCACCGAUGUCCCAAAUGCAUGAAUGCAGAGAAUCAAAGUUCCAUUUCGGGUGCUUAGUUUGCAUUUUAUAGCUUUUCGCCCCUACCAAGAAUGUGUUGUGUGGGGAUCAAACGGCCAUCCUCCCUGAGAAGCUUAAGUUCUGUUUAAGCAGAUUAGCUUUACCUGUUGUAUAUUUAUUCAUUAUUCCAUUGCAUUUGAUGGUGUCUUACAUAUUGGUUAUAUAUGUGGGUUUCAGGAGGAUGAUAUACUAAGAGAACAGAUUGGAAAUCAUGGAACUGAAAAGUACUUGCUCCCCUUUCUUAUUUUUUCUUUUGCCAUACUGUUGUUUUUUUGCCCUUCAAUUUCAAAAAAUUUAACCGAACUGGAUUGUUCAACCGGUUGAAUCGUGAACCAUCACAGUCUACGGUUCGGUUAUUUGUUCAGUUUGAUUGUGGUUUUGUCCCGGUUGAACGGUUUAAGGCAGUUGAACCAUGACCACCACGAGGUUUCUCAGGUUUGGUGUCCAGUUCAAUUUCUUAAACAUUUUCUAUGAUACUUGCCAAAUUAUAGGAAAUCUUUAUUAUAUAUGCAGUUGGGCAACUAUUGCAUCCAAAUUCAAGGACAAAACUACAAGACAAUGCAGAAGAAGGUGAAGUUUUUAUAUUUUGAUUUUUAGUGUAGCUGUUGAAGAUUUUCAUGGUUUCUGCUUUAUUGUUACUGUCAAUCUUAUGCUUAGUAACUAAUACAAUCUCAGAUGGUACACUUAUUUGAAUGUUAAUUUCAAGAAAGGUGGAUGGACACCAGACGAAGAUAUCCUCUUAUGUGAGGUACGGUAUAUCAAUGCUUCAUAUGUUCAAAAGAUUAACUUUCAUCUAUAACAAUUUUCAUAAGAAUUUAACAUGCUUGUUAUAUAAUAAAAUUGGCUAGAACUUUGAAAACUUGUACUUCAUUUUUUUUGUCCCUUCUUUCUCAUACCUCUCUGCGGUAGACAAAAUCCAUCGAUGAACUUGCUAGUAUCAUGGAGAAGCUAUUUAUUUCCGAUAGCCUUGCCUAUUCUCAUGUCUAGGUUGGUUCAUGAGGUGUCAGCUUAGUACUAAAAGUUUGGUAUUGUAAUCUUGGGAGACUGAGUUCCAAUGCCUUCGAGAGCAGUUGUAAAUGGCCAUUAGUGCCACUAUAAUUAAUGGUAGUUUCCCCUUCCUCAAAAUAUAAUUUUUAAACCUGAUGUGUAGGUUACAACCAAACCAGUGAAACAAACCAAAUCUGAGGUGUAUGUUGUCCACGAGGUGUCAAUUUAGUGGUAAAGGUUUGGCCUUGUAAUCUCAAGAGACUGUUCAAAUCCCCUUGGAAACACUUGUAAAAUGACCAUUACUAUCACUUUUUUUUGGGUCUGUAGACGAAGUGGUAAGCACCACUGAAACUCACAACCAUUCCAAGUCCCGGGUUUGAACCGGCUGAAGGCGUCCAACCUAACAAAUUUUGGCAUUGCCAGUUGAGCUAGGCUUUACGGGGACACCAUUAAUAUCACUUUAACUAAUGAUAAUUUCCCCUUCUGCAAUUUUAUUUUUAAAAAUCAGAGGUUACAACCAAACCAACCCAGAUAUUUGUAUAUGUUUACUGCACCAGAUAACAGAAAUUACAUCUGAAAGAAAUGCAUCUGUGAAUGUGCCUUUUGUGACCUAAUUUCUUGUUAUUGUCUUUGUAGGCUCAAAAAAUAUUUGGAAACAGAUGGACAGAAAUAGCAAAGGUGGUUUCAGGCAGGUAACUGAAUAUUCAUUCCUACCUUCUUGCAAUACUGGAUGUCUAUUUUGUGAACGGUUAAUUCACAAUGUAAUGCUUUCUAUGCAGAACGGAUAAUGCCGUAAAAAAUCGUUUCUCCACACUCCACAAGAAGAGGGGAAAAAAUGACAUUGAUUCAAAUAGCAAGAGGAAUAUUUCCUAUCAAGGUUAUAAUACAGAUGCAAUGUCAGAAUCUGCCAUGCCAGUUAAAAGAACGAGGUAUCGUGCACUUUAAGUAUCGAAAUACUCAACUUUUGCAAAAAAAGGUUUUAACAUAUUAUCCUAUUGCAUAAUAGGACGGCCCAUAUCCCUGAUGAUGCAAAAAUGAUCAACAUUGGAGACAGAUCACAUUUGCGAAAUGCAAUUUCAAUAAAUCAGCAACCAAGAGCACCACUUGCCGAAUUAGCUCAACAAUCAAAUAAUGUGAACAAUUUUCCAGACAGGCAUCAUGUUUCCAAUGACAAGUUCAACAGUUCCGGUAAUUGUCUCGAUGGAACUUGAAUAUUGCAUUAUGAUAACGAGGGACAGAAAAGUGGACUGAAUUAAUAUGUUCUGUAAAUAUAAUUUUAGCCAUCCUUUGUUCUAAUAUGAUUUUGGUUCAUCUUGUUUGUCCAGGCCGAAAUAACAAAUAUGAACUCAAAAAGGAUGAUCCGAAGAUAAGUGCAUUGAUUCAAAUAAUUGAUUCAGAGAACAUGGAAAGAGUAUGGAAGGUGAGAAUUGAUACUUUCUAAACUCCAUAAUUGAGUCUUGAACACUUUAUAUGCUUCUCCAGAAAACAUCUCCCUCAAUUGUUUGAUAAAACCCAAAAUUAUAAAUAUUGGUCCUGCCUAUUACUGAUUAUAAAAAAAUUCUUUUUGAUAAUCAAUAAUUUAGAGAUUUUGAAAAAAAUCUCAAGCAUAAAAUUUAUGAAGUUCGUUGAACAUUUUUUACAUCUUGGCUUAAUUCUAUAGUACCAUGGUAGCACAACAAUCUAAUUGGAAAGUAUAGGCGCUAUUUGUUCGUAAAAUUUGAACAUUUUCAACUUCUCUAUUUUUGAGUCUGAAGCAUUCAUCUUUCUAGCAUCUUUUUUCAAUAUUAAAAGUUAAUUUUUAUCUUAGAAAGCCUAUCACAAGCCGUUAACUCUUGUUAUUAUGCACAUAUAAAUAUGAUAGGUGUCAUAAUGCACGAAUUUCAAAUAUCAUCUAACACUUGUUUGAAUACCCAGCCACUUCCAGAGUCGCAUAUAAAAUAUGAUAGGUGUCAUAAUGCAUGGAUUUCAAAUAUCGUCUAACAAUUGUUUGAAUACCAGCCACUUCUAGAGUUUCUGAGCCAAACAGAUAUCAUUGGAGAAAAAAUUGCAGUUUUACAGCUUGUAAGUCAUACAGUCAAGGAGUUUAAGAGUAGCAAUGAGAGAGGCCAUUCCCGCUUGAGGUAGUUUAAGUUCUUUGUAAAUAUAACUUAUGUAGCCUCUGAAAUAAUUUCUAAUGAUUUCUGAAUAUUUUCUAGGCAAAUAAAACCAGACAAGGACUGCUCAGGAAGUUCUGAAUACAGUACAGGAUUAACUCUGCAACAUAAGUCAACUUGUACUGGUGAUAAUUUGGAAAGCGCAUUGAAUCAGGAUACUGGAACUGAAAUUCAAGCUACACAACUUGGGGUUAAAAAAGAAGUAUGUGAAGGUGUGAAGGAGGUUCUUUCUACUGGAAAAGUGGAACAAGGUAAGAAUAAGAUAAUCCCCUUCUGUAAUUAAUAAAUCGUAAACGGAAAAUUACAAGAAAAUAUCAGGCCCGCAUACUUUCUGAAAUCAUUUUCUGUUUUUUAUUUUCUAAAAUUUAUGUUCAUUUUACAUUGCUAUCAAAGAGAUAAAUGAUGUGGUUAACAAUUGUCAGAGAGAAUAUGAAAGACAAGCUAGGAAGAAUGCAUUUUCAAACAUAAUAAAAACAAUGUUUUGGCAUUUUCAAUUUUUUUGAAAAUGUUGCAUCUGUUUUAAAAAAUUAUAAAGAAAACGGUGAGAAAAAUAUUAGAUCUAUGUUCUUUUUCUGUAUGUUAGUUUAAGUGAAAAUGAAAAUAGAAAACAUAGAAAGUAAGUGGGGCCUAAUUUUUGUAAAUGAUUCGGUUUAGGAACAAUUAACCACUUACUCAGUUGAUGUUCAAAGAGUUGAUGAAGAACCACCCUUGACUUAACCACCUAAGCUAAGAGUUCCUAAGCUGAAAAAUAUAAAGACUUAAAACGCUUUUCUAUAAGCUAAUGCAGUAACAUUUUAAUGAAUCAGAAGUGCUAAUAAGAUAUUUAUUCUGUGGCAGAUACGAUACCAAACUGUGAUGAACAGAUAAUUGCCUCGCCAAGAAUGGAGUGUUCCCCUCUUCAAGUGACUCCUAUUUUCAGAUCCUUGGCUGAAGGAAUUCCAACCCCAGAAUUUACAGACAGUGUAAGUUACCCAUGCACUUGGGAUUAAACAAUUUGAACCACAAAAAUUAUAACAGUAAUAGUGGUGACAACACUGACAAGUAAUAUGACAUAUUAGGGAUACCAAUGAGCUUGUUAGGACAGACUAAUUAGGAGUAUGUUAGGUUUGGAACUAAUGUGUUAGUUAGAGAAGUUAUUAGUUAAUUGGGUCGUUAGGUUUAUCUUGUGUAUAUAGGGAAUUUAUUGCGUUAAGAGGGUAUCUGAUCAUUGUAAAUUUUUUGAAUAGAGUAGUGACUCUAAUGUAAAAAGGGGAACCCUUUGGAUGAGUGUUUUCUCUCCUCUCUUCCCUAUUUUCUUAAUACAAUUGUCCCUUAGAUUCCAUUCAAUUCUUGGGUUCCUAAAUAUUAGUCCGAUCUGCCGGAUCUUCGAGAGAGCGCCAGUUCUACAAAUAAUGGAGGACCUGUGGGCCAAGAAGGUGGAGUUGCCGGAUUUUACAGGGACAAAUCCCAUUGGGUGGAUCACAAAAGCUGAAAAGUUCUGUGAGGAGCAAGAAAUUCAUAGGUUCGGUCAGCAACAAUGUGCUUUCAUGAGAAUGGAGGGAGAAGCCAUGUGUUGGUGUAAGGAGGACUUGGAUUUGGUGUGGGGAAUCAUUUUCCACAGACCUGAUAAAAAGAUUAAGGAAUCAAGAACCAGAAAGGUCAGGAGUGGAGUAACAGACACCGAUGAAGAAGCCAUAGCAGUAAAAGAAGCAAAUCUGUUGUUUAAUGCAAGUGGGUUGCAUGGAGAAGAUCAAACCAACAAACUAAAUGGUAAAAAAUGAAGAGAAGUGGCAGCGCGACAGUGAGAAUACUGGUUCUUGGUCUCAAAAGACUCUGGUGAACCUUGUGUCUUUGUUUGAACUGUCAAAUCAAGAAUCAUACACGGAAUACAAAGAGAUCCAAACCCGUCCACCAAAACAAUUAGACGUUAAUCAGCUUGAGGUGGACCUACACAUUCUGCACCACUGACAAUAGUCGAGCCACCACCUCUACAGGAGCCUCUGGAUGCUAAUCAUUUGGCAUCGGACCUUAAACAGCCAGAUGUGCCUGCUGGCGAGUCAUGAAUCACAACCAUUGGGUUUUCGUUGAAGAAAUCAUCAGGGGCACACACACUAGUAUAUACAACCUUGUGGAAGGCGAUGGAUAGAGAGUUGAAAAGGGCCUUUGGUAUGUUGGGUUCAAGGCUAAGUCUAAUAGGUCUUGGCCCAAAUGGAUAGUAACCCAAUUGUUCAAAAAAGAUGGAUUUUUUCUUAACCCAAUUCAAGGACUAAUCCAAGGAAGAGGGUGGGGAGAAACUGACUUGAGUGCAGGAAUUCCUUGUCCUUUGUUGUUGCAAUCUAUGCAGCAGCAACACUUCUGAUCGAUUGCGUGUCCGGUAUCCGACAUGUGUCAGUGUCCGACACCGACACGACAGUGACACAUGUGAUUACAUUUAAUUGUCAUUUUUUCAAAUGAUUGUCUUUGUCGACGUGUCACUGUCAUGUCUGGUGUCCGUGUUUCAUAGUUUGCAAUCUACCAUAUGCAUGAUGUUCCCAUUCCGGUUCCUUCCGAUUUGCUUUCCGCUGUUUUCUCCUUAGGUGGGUGUGCCCUAUCUGGCACAAGCCCCUCUGACACAUGUAUCCUCGUCGUCGUCGCGCAUCCCAUGGGUGACGCUUAUGAAACAUCUCAAACCGAAAGGUAAGAGACCUUGGCAAGAGUGGUAGAUGUCACGAGUAGUAUAAUCUGUGGAUGGAGCUGAAAAUGGCCCGUGGGAUAUAAUAGGAAAACAAAAAGGGUACCGGUUCUGCUAUAUUUUUUCCAUACAAAGAUCUUCUCAGAGAGAGUUAUAUUAAGUGAUUUGUUCAGACUUCUGGAAAUAUAGAAUAUAUGGCAAUUGGAACUGAGAAUAUCUAAGUGGCCCAAUUGUUUGCAACCGAUGCAACAUAAUCAUGUUAUUUUUCUGAUGCAAUACUAAGAUGACUUAUAUUUGCAGAUUAUAGAUAAAACAUAAUGUGGGCUAAAAUGCAUUUUGUUCCCUAUUUUUACUGAUUCACGAUUUUGGUUCCCCAGUUUUAAAAUGUCUGAUUUUUUGUCCACUUAUUUAUUUUGAGGCUGAAUUUUAAAGUGAAAAACUUACGUAGAGCUUUGUCUUGCAUCAAAUAUUAACUUUUGUCGUAUAAAUUAAUGUAUAUUUGGAUGAAUGGAAAAUAUUGGUAAGUGAAAAUCCACCUAGACAGUGUCAUGACAUCAAUUCAGUUGCCACAUAAGUAUCUCACUUGUCACAUUAUAAAAAAACCAACCCCAAAUGCAUAGGUGAAGAAAAUAUUUGACCUUUUUAAAAUUGAGGGACCAAAAUCAUCGAUUUAAAAAUAGGGGGACCAAAAUAAAAAAAUGAGACAAAAUAGAGGGACCAAAACUGCAUAUGUCAUGAUAGUCAAAUAAUGGUAGCAUUGUGUAUUUGCAUCACUAGUGUAGUUGAUUAAACCUUAUUACGUAGAAACCAUUUGUCCAUUCAAUCCAGCACCGGUGCAUUAGAGUUAUUCACACCUUUGUUUUUAGUGUGUUUUGCAAUAAAAAACUGUAUUUUGUUUGUUAGGCACUGGGAUAUAUCAAAGUUUGACAGUAUACUAACCAUUUUUUAACACUUUCAGGAAAAGAGCUUCCUAAGGAAAACACUGGGAGUGGAGUCUCCAUCUAUCAGUACCAAUGUCAACCCAUACAAACCGCCACCGUGCGUAAGAGCCCUUCAAUAUAAUCCAUGAUUCAUCUGACAUACAAAUAUUCAUAUGACAUUCUGCUUUCUGAAUCCUUUGCUCCAUCCUUGGCAAUUCGGGUUUCAGAGUUUUUCUUAAUCUUAAAGGAGGUGUGGUGAAGUAAGACUGCUUCAGUAUAAUCCAUGAUUCGUCUGACAUACAAAUAUUCAUAUGAAGUUCCCGUUUCUGAAUUCUUUGUUCCAUCCUUGGCAUUUCGGCUUUCAGAGUUUUUCUUAAUUUUUUAAGGUGUAGGGAAAUUCCAAGCGUAGAAUGAGCUACCUCUAGACCAAGGAAGUACUUCAAAGUUCCUAGAUCCUUGAUUUUAAAGGAGGUGUCAAGAGCUGUCUUGAUUAAUUGGAAUUCAUGAAGAGAGUCUCUUGCCAAUAACAUCAUCAAAGUUUUCCUGUUUUGAGAAUGAUUGCAAUCUCUGCCUUAAGUUUUGAAAGGCACACGCUUCCCGUAGAAUGUUAUGAUACAUUCUUUUAGCAUCACCCCUUUCACUCAUAAUUAAAUUUCUUGAUACUUGCACAAAGUAUUGGUGUGCUUAGCGUGUCGUCCUAUGGUUUGCCAUUUUUCUUUUUCUUUUUUUUGUACAAAGUCUUCUGUCUGUGGAAUCAUUAGCAUCCUGAUUGUGUGUGUGCAUAAAUUUUGUGCUUAUCCUAUUAACUUUGAAUAUGGAUGUCUGUUGAAUCAUUAGCAUCCUGGUUGUGCGUGUUGGUUGUGCAUGUGUGCAUAAAUUUUGUGCCUAUCCUAUUAACUUUGAAUAUAGAAAGAAAAAAGAGUUCAAGAAUAAGCAGUAUCAACUUGAAUUCUUAUUUGAUUUUUUGGGUGUGCAUACAUUAUGUAAUAAACAUUUUUCCCUCUUUUGGGUUUGAUGCACUGAAACCUGACCAUUAUAGAGUGUGGAAAUGCAUUUUGGUUUUGGUGUGUACAUUUUCUUUAUUUUACACGCCCCCCUUAAUAUAGAGAAUUCUUCAAACAAGGAAAAGUGGAACUGAGAACUUUCUCAAUGCACUCAGCACAAAAUCAAACAAAUAGCGUAACACCGACACAUCAUCAUAUCAAUGACAUGUCUGGUGUCUAACAUUCAACUACUUUCAUAUUCUUAAAUUAGUACAUGUGUCAGUGUCUUAGUGUCGUAUCUGGUGUUUAAUGUUUGUGACAAUGCUUCAUAGCUCUAACUCUCUACACAUAAAGUAGAUUUCCACAUUUAAUUUCAAUGUUUUAGAUUAGAAAUCCAAAGGACAAAACAUCACUCAGAAGUAGAGGAAGCUAAUGUCAAUGAAAAUAAAAAUUUAACAACAUAUGGAGAAUGCAAAAUUAUUUACUUACAGAGUAUACAAGACACCUCUUAGUACUCUGACUCUGACCUGGCAGAAGAAUAGAAACAUGGUCUGUUUGCAAUGGUGUCUUGUGGCCUGUUUUCUGUUUUGAAGAAGA
RNAcentral lists this long non-coding RNA (12422 nucleotides) under Medicago truncatula (barrel medic). RNAcentral describes it as "long non-coding RNA (MTRU_LNC006289)". The record is from RNAcentral. Lineage: Eukaryota; Viridiplantae; Streptophyta; Magnoliopsida; Fabales; Fabaceae.